UGACGGGAGCUAUUAUUGUCUUCUUAUUCUACUCCUGUAAAAGGAAACAUAAAGGCAAUACUACCAGUGGGUUUUCCAAUCCAAAUUAUGCAGGGAGCAGCACGACUUCUCCGAACGAGUUUUAUGAUACGGUGCAUCCUAAUGUCUAUAUCAGCGUUUUUCCCUGGAAAUCAGCCCAUGAGGUUUCCCGGAAGGCCUGUUCAUUCUCCAACCCUCUGUAUGGCAAAAAAGAAGACCUGUAAUUUCCAUGUCACCGUCAUCUCGCUCCGAGCAGAAAUUUUUUUGAGAUAAAUUAUAAUAUCAUUUACAGAGGCAGCGAUUGUUAAUGUAAAUACCGCCUGCUGCUGCAGACAGACAAAGCAGGUAAUAAGUGCUUUCUGC
Molecule: long non-coding RNA, 381 nt
Organism: Bufo gargarizans (Asiatic toad)
Lineage: Eukaryota; Metazoa; Chordata; Amphibia; Anura; Bufonidae
Exons: 4
Source: RefSeq, a predicted model, not a curated record